AGACAGCAGUAGCCACGGGAAUACGAAGGGGGCUAGCGUUGCUCGGAAUCACUGGGCGUAAAGGGUGCGUAGGCGGGUCUUUAAGUCAGGGGUGAAAUCCUGGAGCUCAACUCCAGAACUGCCUUUGAUACUGAAGAUCUUGAGUUCGGGAGAGGUGAGUGGAACUGCGAGUGUAGAGGUGAAAUUCGUAGAUAUUCGCAAGAACACCAGUGGCGAAGGCGGCUCACUGGCCCGAUACUGACGCUGAGGCACGAAAGCGUGGGGAGCAAACAGGAUUAGAUACCCCGGUAGUCCCUGUCUCUUUACA
Molecule: ribosomal RNA, 307 nt
Filed under: uncultured bacterium
Lineage: Bacteria
Description: partial 16S ribosomal RNA
Rfam family: Bacterial small subunit ribosomal RNA
Source: RNAcentral